AGAGUUUGAUCAUGGCUCAGAUUGAACGCUGGCGGCAGGCCUAACACAUGCAAGUCGAACGGUAACAGGAAGCAGCUUGCUGCUUCGCUGACGAGUGGCGGACGGGUGAGUAAUGUCUGGGAAGCUGCCUGAUGGAGGGGGAUAACUACUGGAAACGGUAGCUAAUACCGCAUAAUGUCGCAAGACCAAAGAGGGGGACCUUCGGGCCUCUUGCCAUCGGAUGUGCCCAGAUGGGAUUAGCUUGUUGGUGGGGUAACGGCUCACCAAGGCGACGAUCCCUAGCUGGUCUGAGAGGAUGACCAGCACACUGGAACUGAGACACGGUCCAGACUCCUACGGGAGGCAGCAGUGGGGAAUAUUGCACAAUGGGCGCAAGCCUGAUGCAGCCAUGCCGCGUGUAUGAAGAAGGCCUUCGGGUUGUAAAGUACUUUCAGCGGGGAGGAAGGGAGUAAAGUUAAUACCUUUGCUCAUUGACGUUACCCGCAGAAGAAGCACCGGCUAACUCCGUGCCAGCAGCCGCGGUAAUACGGAGGGUGCAAGCGUUAAUCGGAAUUACUGGGCGUAAAGCGCACGCAGGCGGUUUGUUAAGUCAGAUGUGAAAUCCCCGGGCUCAACCUGGGAACUGCAUCUGAUACUGGCAAGCUUGAGUCUCGUAGAGGGGGGUAGAAUUCCAGGUGUAGCGGUGAAAUGCGUAGAGAUCUGGAGGAAUACCGGUGGCGAAGGCGGCCCCCUGGACGAAGACUGACGCUCAGGUGCGAAAGCGUGGGGAGCAAACAGGAUUAGAUACCCUGGUAGUCCACGCCGUAAACGAUGUCGACUUGGAGGUUGUGCCCUUGAGGCGUGGCUUCCGGAGCUAACGCGUUAAGUCGACCGCCUGGGGAGUACGGCCGCAAGGUUAAAACUCAAAUGAAUUGACGGGGGCCCGCACAAGCGGUGGAGCAUGUGGUUUAAUUCGAUGCAACGCGAAGAACCUUACCUGGUCUUGACAUCCACGGAAGUUUUCAGAGAUGAGAAUGUGCCUUCGGGAACCGUGAGACAGGUGCUGCAUGGCUGUCGUCAGCUCGUGUUGUGAAAUGUUGGGUUAAGUCCCGCAACGAGCGCAACCCUUAUCCUUUGUUGCCAGCGGUCCGGCCGGGAACUCAAAGGAGACUGCCAGUGAUAAACUGGAGGAAGGUGGGGAUGACGUCAAGUCAUCAUGGCCCUUACGACCAGGGCUACACACGUGCUACAAUGGCGCAUACAAAGAGAAGCGACCUCGCGAGAGCAAGCGGACCUCAUAAAGUGCGUCGUAGUCCGGAUUGGAGUCUGCAACUCGACUCCAUGAAGUCGGAAUCGCUAGUAAUCGUGGAUCAGAAUGCCACGGUGAAUACGUUCCCGGGCCUUGUACACACCGCCCGUCACACCAUGGGAGUGGGUUGCAAAAGAAGUAGGUAGCUUAACCUUCGGGAGGGCGCUUACCACUUUGUGAUUCAUGACUGGGGUGAAGUCGGAACAAGGUAACCGUAGGGGAACCUGCGGUUG
This 1521-nucleotide ribosomal RNA is filed under the name metagenome. Its description in RNAcentral is "bacterial SSU rRNA". It matches the Rfam family "Bacterial small subunit ribosomal RNA". The record is from RNAcentral.